AAUUAAGUUUUUUCUGAAUUGGUUUUCUUGACGGUCGGGGGAGGUGCCACUAGGGCAACCUGCCUCCUUAGUUGGGAAAAGCCAUCGAAAAGGGAAAUUAUUAUUGACUCAGAAUUGUAGUUCCGCAUUCUCCAGCAAUUAAAGGGACAAUCUGAUAUGAGAAGGACCUCGCGGCGCCUUAAUUAGUUAGUGAGGUAGGGAAUCGCUCAGCGAGACGAUGCUCAGCCGACCUGAGAGGGUGAUCGACCACCUCGGGUGUGAGACACGCCCCCAGACUCUUACGUGAGGCAGCAGUCGGGAAUGAUUGCACAAUGAGUGAAACCAUUAUGCAGCAACGCCGCGUGAGUGAUGACGGCCUUUGGUUUGUAAAUAUCUGUCUUCCGGGACGAUAAAGACGGUACCUGAAGAAGAAGCCACGGCUAAGUACGUGCCAGCACCCGCGGUAAUAGUUAGGUGGCGAGCGUUAUCCGGAUUUACUGGGAUUAAAGGGAAGAGUAGGCGGAUUUUUAAGUAUAGAUGUGAAAUACUCGGGCUUAACCUGAGUGCUGCAUUUCAAACUAGAAUUUUAGAGUGCAGGAGAGGAGAAGAAAAUUCAUAUGUGUAGCGUUGAAAUGAGUAGAGAUUAGGAAGAACACCAUUGCAGAAGGCGCUUCUAUGGACUGUAAUUGACGUUGAGGCUAGAAAGCGUGGGGAGCAAACAGGAUUAGAUACCAUGCUAGUCCACUCCGUAAACGAAUGAAUAGAUAGGUGUGGGGUGUGGUGCAUGACCUUCGUG
Molecule: ribosomal RNA, 775 nt
Filed under: uncultured bacterium
Lineage: Bacteria
Description: bacterial SSU rRNA
Rfam family: Bacterial small subunit ribosomal RNA
Source: RNAcentral